UCGUUUCUUUGAUGUUGAAGAAAACCUUUUGUGACGAACCAUCUCUCCUCUUGUUGUUGGAAGAUUGAGACGUUAUUCCAUAAAUGAAACGUCGGAGAUGUUGACCAAAAAUGGGAGAGAAAUCACCUGUCCUUGAAUCCCUUAUCCCAACCCUGUCACUUGGCUAAAAUUUCGACAUCAGGCCAUUAGCUCACAGCACAUUAACGCCGUUUAAGUUGGUAUUAUUCUUCAGGAAAAAAAAAAAACUGAACCUUUCCCUUUUUCUCUUUCUGGGUUGAUCUUCAGAACCCACUUGUUACCUCAUCGCCGCCGCCUCCGGCUCUUACUGUCAAAGUCACUCUGGACUCCGUCACUAUUAAUCAAUCAGGUUCAUUGCCAAAUACCAGUAAUCCAACGGUUUCAUCUGAUAUAGAAACUCCAAUUUGCCAAGGCCGAAUCCGCCGGUGCUAGAAGCUCAGACUAGGUUACCGGCCCCACCCAGACCAAGCCUCUCAAGAUUCGUAUUUUUUGGAUGAUGGGUGUGCUAGAUAUGGUUCGGAACAUAACAUGAAGAAGAAGAUGAUGGGCAUUGAACAGUCGGGCCUGGGUCAGCAAAGCGGGUUUGUAGAAUUUUUUAGUAUCAAAACAAUAUAUUUGUAUUUGGUUCAGUAAUUUUCUAUUGAACCAAAAUGAAGCUAAUCAAUAUGAAUGUGCUGGAAUCUAGCUUGUCAAAAUGAACUCUUUGGAAUGUUUGUCACAAGUUGCAACUACUCUUUCAGUUA
Rosa chinensis is the source of this 761-nucleotide long non-coding RNA. RefSeq lists it as uncharacterized. NCBI's taxonomy places the organism in Eukaryota, Viridiplantae, Streptophyta, Magnoliopsida, Rosales, Rosaceae. The transcript is spliced from 2 exons. The record is from RefSeq and is a predicted model, not a curated record.